UCACUACCCUAUACCUCACUACCCUAUACUAUGCUACCCUAUACUAUACUACCCUAUACUAUACUACCCUAUACCUCACUACCCUAUACCUCACUACCCUAUACUAUGCUACCCUAUACUAUACUACCCUAUACUAUGCUACCCUAUACUAUACUACCCUAUACUAUAAGCCUAAAUAAGUUCAGGAUUAAAAAUGUGUUUAGCAAGUCUCAUAACUUGCAUGGACUCACUCUGUGUGCAAUUGGAGUUUUGAUCAUGAUUUUUUUCAAUGACUACCUGACCUUUGUACCCCACACAUACAAUUAUCUGUAAGGUCCCUCAUCUCUGUACCCCACACAUACAAUUAUCUGUAAGGUCCCUCAUCUCUGUACCCCACACAUACAAUUAUCUGUAAGGUCCCUCAUCUCUGUACCCCACACAUACAAUUAUCUGUAAGGUCCCUCAUCUCUGUACCCCACACAUACAAUUAUCUGUAAGGUCCCUCAUCUCUGUACCCCACACAUACAAUUAUCUGUAAGGUCCCUCAUCUCUGUACCCCACACAUACAAUUAUCUGUAAGGUCCCUCAUCUCUGUACCCCACACAUACAAUUAUCUGUAAGGUCCCUCAUCUCUGUACCCCACACAUACAAUUAUCUGUAAGGUCCCUCAGUUGAGCAGUGAAUUUCAAACACAGAUUCAACCACAAAGACCAGAGAUGUGUUCCAAUACCUCGCAAAGAGGGGCACCUAUUGCAUCAAUGCACUAAAGUAAUACUGCCCCAAAAAAUAUUUAAGCAAUUCAUUUUUUGUCCUGAAUACAAAGUGUUAUGUUUGGGGCAAAUCCAAAACAUUUCUGAGUACUACUCUCCAUAUUUCCAAGUAUAGUGGUGGCUGCAUCAUGUUAUGAUUAUGCUUGUAAUCGUUAAGGACUGGGGAGUUUUUCAGGAUAAAAAAAAUGUAAUGGAUCUAAGCUCAGGCAAAAUCCUAGAGGAAAAUCUGGUUCAGUCUGCUUUCCACCAGACACCAACUCAACUGUCUGCAGGACAAUACCCUAAAACACAAGGCCAAAUCUUCACUGGAGUUGCUUACCAAGAAAAUAGUGAAUGUUCCUGAGUGGCCAAGUUACAGUUUUGACGUAAAUCUGCUUGAAAAUCUAUGGCAAGACCUGAAAAUGAUUGUCUAUCCAUGAUCAACAACCAAUUUGACAGAGCUUGAAGAAUUCUGAAAAUAAUCAAAUGGGCAAAUGUUCCAAAAUCCACAAAAGUGGAUAAAAUCAAGUGGCGUGAAUACUUCCUGUAUUGCUCUUCUACAUUUUCUGGGGUGUUGUUUUUUAUAUUGCUAAACAAAAAAAUCACCAGGCUAAAUGUUGCUUCCCACUAGACAAUUUGCAUCAUGGGUUUCAUAUUCCGACAUUGUCCCGAAAUUCUUGAGAAUAUCGGACUCACAUCCUGUUAUGGGAAGCGUUUUAUGAACUCGGUAUACAGGCAUCCUAGCUAAGGAUGCUGGGUACUGAUAAUCAGCUUGUAGCUUGUCACUUAUUUCCAAUAGUUUGACAACUUGCUGCUUCAUUUAAACCUGUUCUUUAUGAUAAAAUAAACUUCCUAAGUAGCUAGCUUGCUUGCUUGCUUAUGGAAUGAGCAUUGCAUUAAGUAGUUGGUUAGCUUCUCUUUCAUUUCAUAUGAAGUGACAGUCUCAGGCUUAGCUAGCUAGCUAAUGUUUUUGUGUUCAUGAUCAAAUUUGAUCAGAAAUGCAAAAACGUAGAAAUUAAUGACAGAUUUAUUACAUUUAUAAAGAUUUAUUCUGACUUUGAGGGCGACUUAGUAGUGACUGUUGUUGCUAAGUAACAUGCUAAGAUUCAUGGGAAGAAGUUGCCGCCAAGGGCGGCUAGUCCCGCACAGGAUGCCCACGCGAAAAAAAUAGGUUUUCUGAAGGGUGCAGUGGUGCCCUCUAUGAAUUGACAACUAGCGUUUGAGAUUGACUCGUUCCUGUCUUCUACUUCAAACAGUGUUAUUUCUUAUUUCAGUGUUAUUUCUUCCUUCUUUCUCUUCUCCUGUCUGCAGUCUGCUUAAAGCCCGGCUGCGUUCCGAGCUCCUGGAGCCCCUAGCAACAGAGCAGAGGAGAUGAUGCAGUACCUCUUGAGAGCCUCACCUCAACCUCACAUUCCUUUUCCCUUCAGUUUUCUCCUUCAUCCCAGUCACAAUCAGACUGGGUCUCUCUCUCUCAGGUUGUGAAACUAUCACAUUCUCCAAGCAGAGUUAAAUAAACCGAUAUUCAUUAGUCAUGUAUCAUAAACAAUAUAUUAUGACUUUAGUCUGGCUGGCUACUAUCACAAUACUCUGAAUGCCAGCCAUGGUCUACUGAUAAGGUGUUGUCAUGUUCUCAUCUUAAAUGAUAAAUUAAUGUGUUUUUUGCAUGCCAGAUUUGUUUUGUUUUUAUAAAAGUUUGCUUAAUUUGUAGCUAAUGUGUGGCAACACCAGUUUCAAACAGCAGAGGGAGGUAGAGUUCUAUUUAAUCUUGGACCGUUAGCAUAAUCUCUGAAAAUGAAACUAUGCUGCACAUACAGUGCAUCAUUUUCAAAGCUCCAUUCGUGACUUUUAUUUUUUUAGGGUUGUGUUUUGCUGAUGGUAAAAUGUGACCAAACGGCUCGAUUCGGUCUUAUUUAGCUCAAUUUGAAAAAUUGUUUUUUUUAAAUAAAUUGGAUAAAAGUAGAGACUCCGAGCUGGAAAAUGGUAUAUAAUUCACUACAGUUGAGGAACAAUGGGAAAGUAAUUCUGCUUUGAAAGUUGAUAAACGUAUAACCUCACUUUUGAGAAAAUGGCCCUUGAAUGUUUUGGUACCUACAAGAUAGAUGUUCUUUGUCUACACCCAUUCAGCAUUGUUCACACCCUCUUAAGCUUUAGCCCCACCCAUUCAGCAUUGUUCACACCCUCUUAAGCUUUAGCCCCACCCAUCUCUUUAAGGAUUCACACAUGAGGCCAUGUGCUAAACAGAGUGAGUACGCUAGUAUACUAAGCAACCAAAGAUUUCAAGACUAAUGGCUGGUUUAUACUACGGGUGUGUUCGUACAUUUAAUCUGUAGUGCCAGAGUGUGCUCUCGGCGUUUGUAAACUCAGAGUAUUGUCAGUUUGGCCGUUCGUAAACUCAGAGCGUUUCGCUCUCGUAACGUUCAGAGCGCACAUGGAUGGACGCUCUCCCACUCUGCCACAGAUAACACGGUUGCCCUCAGUUUGAAGAUGUAAUCCGGAGAGACAGGUGUUUUAUACAACAGCAUUCUGUGUGUUCUCUUUUUGACUCCGUCUUGCAUAUUUGCAAUCAAACGCCAGAAUCCUAUCAUACUCUAAUUCCUCUGAUUUCUACUGGUCGUCCAGAAAGUGGAGAGCAACACUUACGCAGUUCUACGACGCGAUAUCUUUCAAAAAAGCCACAUUAGAAAGAAUUACCUACACAUACUGACCAGCUCAUGUUGUUAUAGACAGAAGCGAGCUACAUGGCAGACCAAUGCAAACUCAUCUCAUGUCCGGCCCACUCAUUAUCUCAGCCAAUCAUGGGUAGCAGGAAGGUUGCUGGCUUUUUCUGUGGCUAAACCAACUAGGCUCGUAAUUGAAUCAAUUUAUUAAAUAUUUACAGAUGGCAUACAAGGUUGUUAUUAAGGCGUAGGAAAGGUCAUAUGUUCCAGAAGACGUAAAUGUUUAUGUUCAAAGGGCUCUCCUGUGAAGUAUUGACGCGUGACAUAGACCUAGCUUCCUGAAACGAGUCACAAAUAGAAGUUAUUGAGUUAAUGGACAAGGACACAGUCCACUUGUAGUGCAGUCAGCUUUUGGCCAACACCCAAACCUCACCGGGCCAAGUUGCGUGCAACAGCUAGCUAGCUAAAUGUCCAUGAAUGUUUCAUGUUAGUUUUUAACCUCCCCCCGAAAUGAGUUGGUUCACAGUUGGUUUUGAUAUUUUAACCUGCUUCACAUGAUCGCGUCUGGUGUGGAUGGUGCACACGUAGACCGGAGUAGUCAGCAUGUUGGCCUGAAGGUCUGGAGCUGGUCAGGAACCUAGGUUGUCUUUGAGUAGCCAGCAUGUUGGCCUGAAGGUCUGGAGCUGGUCAGGAACCUAGGUUGUCUUUGAGUAGCCAGCAUGUUGGCCUGAAGGUCUGGAGCUGGUCAGGAACCUAGGUUGUCUUUGGGUAGUCAGCAUGUUGGCCUGAAGGUCAGGAGCUGGUCAGGAAUCUAGGUUGUCUUUGAAUAGUCAGCAUGUUGGCCUGAAGGUCUGGAGCUGGUCAGGAACCUAGGAUGUCUUUGAGUAGUCAGCAUGUUGGCCUGAAGGUCUGGAGCUGGUCAGGAACCGAGGUUGUCUUUGAAUAGUCAGCAUGUUGGCCUGAAGCUCUGGAGCUGGUCAGGAACCUAGGUUGUCUUUGAAUAGUCAGCAUGUUGGCCUGAAGGUCUGGAGCUGGUCAGGUCUUUGAGCUCUCUUAAAGCUUUCUCUUUGUCAUUGUAGCUGGACUCAAACCUAAGAGUGCACAAAUGGCACCAUAUUCUAGUAGUAGUGCACUACUCAUUUCGCCCCAGUCAAUAGUAGUGCACUAUAAAGGGAAUAGGGUACCAGCCCUGGUCAAUAGUAGUGCUCUAAAUAGGGAAUAGGGUGCAGGCCCUGGUCAAUAGUAGUGCUCUAUAUAGGGAAUAGGGUAUCAGCCCUGGUCAAUAGUAGUGCUCUAUAUAGGGAAUAGGGUGCCAGCCCUGGUAGUGCUCUAUAUAGGGAAUAGGGUACCAGUCCUGGUCAAUAGUAGUGCUCUAUAUAGGGAAUAGGGUGCCAGCCCCGGUCAAUAGUAGUGCACUAUAUAGGGAAUAGGGUGCCAGCCCUGGUCAAUAGUAGUGCUCUAUAUAGGGAAUAGGGUGCCAGCCCUGGUCAAUAGUAGUGCUCUAUAUAGGAAAUAGGGUGCCAGCCCUGGUCAAUAGUAGUGCUCUAUAUAGGGAAUAGGGUGCCAGCCCUGGUCAAUAGUAGUGCUCUAUAUAGGGAAUAGGGUACCAGCACGGGUCAAUAGUAGUGCACUAUAUAGGGAACAGGGUGCCAGCCCUGGUCAAUAGUAGUGCUCUAUAUAGGGAAUAGGGUACCAUUUGGGACACAUAUUUAUCUUACAGGGAGAGAUAUUUUUAUGAAGAUAACUUUGAUCAUGCUGGUCAUGUUUCUCAACAUCGCUGCGGGACAGUUUGUUUGUUUUAGAUCUUGUGAAUUUUCUUAAAGAAACGUUUAUUGAAGUAGAUAGAAAAUGCC
Long non-coding RNA from Oncorhynchus keta (chum salmon), 5238 nucleotides. RefSeq lists it as uncharacterized. The record is from RefSeq and is a predicted model, not a curated record. Lineage: Eukaryota; Metazoa; Chordata; Actinopteri; Salmoniformes; Salmonidae. The transcript has 4 exons.